AGUUCAAUAUGCUUUAUAGGAAGGUCCAGAGAAGGGACUGCCCUGCUGAGGAGGUCCAGAGAAGGGACUGCCCUGCUGAGGGUUAUUUGAGUGCGGGUGGGUGUGUAUAUGUUAUUUGGAGGCAUUCACUGGACUCACAAGACUCUUUCUAAAGAUAUGGCAUUGGGAUGCAGCCCAGCUUCGAACUUAUGCUCCCCCGACUUACUCCCAGGUGCUGGGGUUGUAAGUACACAGCACCAUGCCCAGCCAUUGGUUUCAUUUUUGUUUGUUAAAGUGGGAAGAGAAGCCUCCGAGUGGCUCUGAGCCCUGAGGCCACUGGGCCUCCUGUGCUCAGUGUCAGUGCAGGAGAUCAAGUCUGAAGUCAGAAGAACGAGAACAGAGAAAACUGGCUCCAGGCAGGGUGGGGCACUGAAGCUGGGGAAAGGCAGUCAAGGCCAGGAUCCAUUUGAAGGUGCAUCCACACCCUUACUAAAUCAGAUGUGGUUGUAAGAGCAAGAGAGGCGUGUGGAAGGACUGAGGUGUCAGUCUAAACAAAUGGAAGAGAGCUUCACUAUGGAAGUUAUUCAUUCAAUCAAUUGAUUGAAUCACAUGAGCUAGUGUGUGUGACAAGAGGAUAAUUUGUGGAAGUCAGUUCUCUCCUUAGACCAUAUGGAUCUUAGAAUUUAGGCUGCCUGGUUUGGUAGCAGGUGUCUUUACCUACUGGGCCAUCUCCCCUAUCCUGUGACUGUUAUUCCUAAUGAAUGGAUCAACUAUUGCAUGAAAAUAUAAGAUACAGCCGUUACUCACCAGGUACUAGCGCUCGCCCCUUUCCACAUGCUGUAGGAAUAGUCAGCGUUUCUGUAGGACAUGACGCUCACCAUCCCUGUGAGGAACCAGAACAGAAGAACACAGCCCUUCACUUCCUGGGCAGGCUGGAUCAGCCUGGUGAGUGAGCCCUCUGUGCUGUGAGCAGCUUGAGCUCUGUGGCCAACACUGGGCUUCUCACAGGAACUGUGUGAACUACUUGAGCUGGGAAUCAAAUAGAACCUUCUGCUCCCAUUCAGAGAGGAUGGGAGAGCCCCGUAGAGUCUGGAGACAGGUGUCUUGGUUUGCAUCCAAGCGUUUUGGUAAGUUAAGCCAAAAUGCCUCAGAAAGAGAACAUGCCAUGUUUUUUUUUUUCUUGCUAAAAUUCUUUAUAAGUAAUAAUAUAUGUAUAAUUCUUAACAAUUUAAAUAUUAUGUUCAAUAAUAUAUUUGCUUAGAAUUCUGUAAAAUUAUGUAU
This 1260-nucleotide long non-coding RNA is filed under the name Mus pahari (shrew mouse). Its description in RNAcentral is "lncRNA (MGP_PahariEiJ_G0003270.1)". The record is from RNAcentral. Lineage: Eukaryota; Metazoa; Chordata; Mammalia; Rodentia; Muridae.